CAUGUACUCCGCAUUGUUUAAUGUCUUAUACGCUUUUACGUUGUCUUAUUUUACUUCUUUCUAAACUUAAAGCAGUCAUUGUGCAUAUUCAUCAACAAUGAUAUUCUGAGGAUGGAAAAUUCAAAGCCAUCACCAUUUUUGACAUCACUGUUCGCAAUUGGAAUAGGGGCCUACUUUCUGAGAGACUGUCCUGUCCAGCCUCACAUCCCAGUCUACCUUAUAGUAUUUGGUGUAUUUGUUUUGCUUGUUCUGAUAGUGACCCUAGGCUUGUUCUACGGUCUGCUUGCAAAAGACACCUUUGAAAUGCUGCUGUUGUCUCUGCUGGUCAUCUCCAUCAGCUUCAUCCUCUACCUGUUUGUUGUCUGCUGGUUCAUCGCAGGGAGUGUCUGGAUAUACUCUGUUCAUCGUCCCAGUUAUGACCCAACACAUGAACAGAACUACUGCAACAAAACUCUGUACCUCUUUGCAUUCUGGUUGAACUCAGUCUGCUAUGGCUGUCUGGCUGUCCUGUUGCUUUGUAUUGGGUUUUCAGUGUUUUAUAUCUGCGUACAAAAUCCUUGUCAAAGAUCAUCGGCUUCAAACUCUCAGCAACAAGCAUAAGACUUCUUUGGAAAGUAUUAUGGUUUUAUGGUAACAUUUUAUAAGGUUCAUUAGUUAAUGUAUUAACUAACAUGAACUAACAACGAUCAAUAGAUUUGUUACAGUAUUUGUUCAUCUUUGUUAAUGUUAGUUCAUAAAACUCCAGCUGUUCAUUGUUUGUUCAUGUUAGUUCACAGUGCAUUAACUAAAUACAAAUUUUGAAUUUAAUAUUGAAAUUAUAUGAAGUUAAUAUUAAGAUUAAUAAAUGCUUUAGAGGUAUUGUUAAUUCUUAGUUUAUGUUAACUAAGGUAGUUAACUAAUGUUACAUAAUGAACCUUAUUGUAAAGUGUUACUGUUUUUGGAUUUGGCAGAUGCUUUAUUCAAAUCAAGCACUAUUCGUACAUUUUAUCAAUAUGUUCUCAAAAACUCAAACCCAUGAUCUUGGCAUUAUAUAUCCUGUUUUCUACCAGUACAGUGCACAGAAAAGCACCUUUUUAUACAUUAUCUGUAUACUGUAUUUCCAUCUAGUUCAAAAUGAAGGCCUAGACUUGAAGGUGGUUUUUAUGUUUCAGUUUGGGUUGGCUAAAACAGUUUCUCAACAUUUCACCAAAGGAAGUGUUUCAAAAAUACUUUGCAAGUCUGGAGACCACAGAACUGUGAAAACAUACUGGUUGACUCAGAGCAGCUCGUUCAGUCCUAUUCACGUCUUCAUGAUGAAGCUCAUUCUGGGGGUCAGACAGCCUGAGCCAAAUUAAUAAGAGAUAGUUCACAUUUCUAUGGACUGGUUAAGAAAUCGUUAAAGAUGGAGACUACCGAGAGAGCUGCCAGAAAAUCUUUCAUUGUGAUCAUUAACAUGAUUGCGUGGAUGAUUUUAAUAACAGCUACUGGAUUAGGAACAAUCCAUUUUCAUGAGUGCCCUGUUCAACCAAAGCUCCCCAUCUAUAUGACCGUGAUCGGGGCGACCGGUCUGUUUGCACUGUUGCUCAUGUACCUGAGGAACACUUUGGAUGACUGUCCGCUGGCUCGCUUCUGCGCUGCCUUCAGCUUGAUGCUCUGUGUAUUCAUUGUGUGCUGGUUUAUUGCUGGUACCUACUGGAUUUACUCCAUAUAUCCUCCCAAUAAUGACUCCACCAGGACUGGAAACCACUGUCAUAGAACCCUGUAUCUGUUUGCAUUUUGGUUCAACAAUAUAUGCUUUCUCUGUGUGUCCAUACUGUUUGUCUUUUGUUUGUACACCAUUUUGUACAA
Molecule: RNA transcript, 1827 nt
Organism: Rhinichthys klamathensis goyatoka
Lineage: Eukaryota; Metazoa; Chordata; Actinopteri; Cypriniformes; Leuciscidae
Gene name: transmembrane protein 272-like
Exons: 8
Source: RefSeq, a predicted model, not a curated record